RNAcentral lists this ribosomal RNA (484 nucleotides) under uncultured bacterium. RNAcentral describes it as "partial 16S ribosomal RNA". It matches the Rfam family "Bacterial small subunit ribosomal RNA", at positions 30 to 507 of the family's 1533-position model. The record is from RNAcentral.
AUUGAACGCUGGCGGCAGGCCUAACACAUGCAAGUCGAGCGGAUGAAGGGAGCUUGCUCCUGGAUUCAGCGGCGGACGGGUGAGUAAUGCCUAGGAAUCUGCCUGGUAGUGGGGGAUAACGUCCGGAAACGGGCGCUAAUACCGCAUACGUCCUGAGGGAGAAAGUGGGGGAUCUUCGGACCUCACGCUAUCAGAUGAGCCUAGGUCGGAUUAGCUAGUUGGCGGGGUAAAGGCCUACCAAGGCGACGAUCCGUAACUGGUCUGAGAGGAUGAUCAGUCACACUGGAACUGAGACACGGUCCAGGCUCCUACGGGAGGCAGCAGUGGGGAAUAUUGGACAAUGGGCGAAAGCCUGAUCCAGCCAUGCCGCGUGUGUGAAGAAGGUCUUCGGAUUGUAAAGCACUUUAAGUUGGGAGGAAGGGCAGUAAGUUAAUACCUUGCUGUUUUGACGUUACCAACAGAAUAAGCACCGGCUAACUUCGUG